Molecule: ribosomal RNA, 253 nt
Filed under: uncultured bacterium
Lineage: Bacteria
Description: partial 16S ribosomal RNA
Rfam family: Bacterial small subunit ribosomal RNA
Source: RNAcentral
UACGGAGGGUGCAAGCGUUAUCCGGAUUCACGGGGUUUAAAGGGUGCGUAGGCGGGCUGGUAAGUCAGUGGUGAAAUCUCCAGGCUUAACUUGGAAACUGCCAUUGAUACUAUCAGUCUUGAAUACCGUGGAGGUCAGCGGAAUAUGUCAUGUAGCGGUGAAAUGCUUAGAUAUGACAUAGAACACCAAUUGCGAAGGCAGCUGGCUACACGAAUAUUGACACUGAUGCACGAAAGCGUGGUGAUCAAACAGG